ACUCCUACGGGAGGCAGCAGUGGGGAAUCUUGGACAAUGGGGGCAACCCUGAUCCAGCCAUGCCGCGUGAGUGAUGAAGGCCUUAGGGUCGUAAAGCUCUUUCGCCUGUGAUGAUAAUGACAGUAGCAGGUAAAGAAACCCCGGCUAACUCCGUGCCAGCAGCCGCGGUAAUACGGAGGGGGUUAGCGUUGUUCGGAAUUACUGGGGCGUAAAGCGCGCGUAGGCGGAUUAGUCAGUUAGAGGUGAAAUCCCAGGGCUCAACCCUGGAACUGCCUUUAAUACUGCUAGUCUUGAGUUCGAGAGAGGUGAGUGGAAUUCCGAGUGUAGAGGUGAAAUUCGUAGAUAUUCGGAGGAACACCAGUGGCGAAGGCGGCUCACUGGCUCGAUACUGACGCUGAGGUGCGAAAGUGUGGGGAGCAAACAGGAUUAGAUACCCUGGUAGGAUAGCG
Molecule: ribosomal RNA, 449 nt
Filed under: uncultured bacterium
Lineage: Bacteria
Description: bacterial SSU rRNA
Rfam family: Bacterial small subunit ribosomal RNA
Source: RNAcentral